This is a long non-coding RNA of Dreissena polymorpha, 244 nucleotides long. RefSeq lists it as uncharacterized. The record is from RefSeq and is a predicted model, not a curated record. The transcript is spliced from 2 exons. NCBI's taxonomy places the organism in Eukaryota, Metazoa, Mollusca, Bivalvia, Myida, Dreissenidae.
UAAGGUUUUAGGGUAUAAUUACCUGUGACACUGUAGCAAUGUAUUUUCUCAAUAAGGUUGUUGUUAUCCUUUCAGGCCUCUGCAGUCCCGGGCAUUCUCGAACCAAUUCAUGCAUAGCUCGACUGCCAGAUAAUGGAGAUCCGAAAGAGGCUGGCUCAGAUGACGAGGAAGCUUACUUGGAUGAGGAUGAAAUAAAUAAGAGAUUUGUAUUGUAUUCUAAAGAUUGAAUAAAUGAAUGCUUCUA